ACAAUGUUGGAGGACAGACAUCAAAACCAGUUAGCCAUUUGGAGACUUAACAACAAACACAUGGAAAAGGUAAUAUGAGGUCGUAUGCACAGGUGGUUGGUAUUGGGGUUUUUCAAAGAAACCAUGGUUAGUAUCUUAGAAGGUUCGGGUGCAUGUCGCUAAUGGAGACAAUAUGACCAAGGUAUUCGAGUUGGCGUUGAGCAAAAAGGAACUUGGAUUAUUUGAGGUAGAAAUUGCC
This 238-nucleotide long non-coding RNA is filed under the name Lathyrus oleraceus (garden pea). Its description in RNAcentral is "Pisum sativum (pea) long non-coding RNA (PSAT_LNC028831)". The record is from RNAcentral. Lineage: Eukaryota; Viridiplantae; Streptophyta; Magnoliopsida; Fabales; Fabaceae.